CCUACGGGGGGCUGCAGUGAGGAAUAUUGGUCAAUGGACGAGAGUCUGAACCAGCCAAGUAGCGUGAAGGAUGACUGCCCUAGGGGUGGUAAACUUCUUUUAUAAAGGAAUAAAACGAGGCACGUGUGCCUUUUUGCAUGUACUUUAUGAAUAAGGAUCGGCUAACUACGUGCCAGCAGCCGCGGUAAUACGGAGGAUCCGAGCGUUAUCCGGAUUUAUUGGGUUUAAAGGGAGCGUAGAUGGGUUGUUAAGUCAGUUGUGAAAGUUUGCGGCUCAACCGUAAAAUUGCAAUUGAUACUGGGAGUCUUGAGUGCAGAUGAGGUAAGCGGAAUUCGUGGUGUAGCGGUGAAAUGCUUAGAUAUCACGAAGAACCCCGAUUGCGAAGGCAGCUUACUAGACUGUGACUGACAUUGAUGCUCGAAAGUGUGGGUAUCAAACAGGAUUAGAUACCCUUGUAGUC
RNAcentral lists this ribosomal RNA (460 nucleotides) under uncultured bacterium. RNAcentral describes it as "partial 16S ribosomal RNA". It matches the Rfam family "Bacterial small subunit ribosomal RNA", at positions 338 to 795 of the family's 1533-position model. The record is from RNAcentral.